This 772-nucleotide ribosomal RNA is filed under the name uncultured bacterium. Its description in RNAcentral is "bacterial SSU rRNA". It matches the Rfam family "Bacterial small subunit ribosomal RNA", at positions 8 to 796 of the family's 1533-position model. The record is from RNAcentral.
AGAGUUUGAUCCUGGCUCAGAAUGAACGUUGGCGGCGUGGAUUAGGCAUGCAAGUCGAACGGGCCGCAAGGCCAGUGGCGCAAGGGUGAGUAAGGCGACGGUAACCAACCCCGGGAUUGGGUAUAGCCGCGGGAAACCGCGGGUAAUCCCCAGCGACGCGACGACACCGGCAUCGGUGUCUCGCCAAAGCCCCGGCGUCCUGGGACGGGCUGUCGUGGUAUUAGCUUGUUGGCGGGGUAACGGCCCACCAAGGCUCUGAUGCCUACCGGGCGUGCGAGCGUGGCCCGGCACACUGGGACUGAGACACUGCCCAGACUCCUACGGGAGGCUGCAGUCGAGAAUCUUCGGCAAUGGGCGCAAGCCUGACCGAGCGACGCCGCGUGGAGGAUGAAGGCCUUCGGGUUGUAAACUCCUGUCGAGGGGGAAAAAGGCCCCGCAAGGGGCUUGAUUGAUCCCUGGAGGAAGCACGGGCUAAGUUCGUGCCAGCAGCCGCGGUAAGACGAACCGUGCGAACGUUAUUCGGAAUCAUUGGGCUUAAAGCGCGUGUAGGCGGAUUCGUGCGUCUGUCGCUGAAAUCCCCCGGCUCAACCGGGGAACGGGCGCGGAUACGACGAGUCUGGAGGGGCAUAGGGGGACCUGGAACUUCCGGUGGAGCGGUGAAAUGCGUUGAGAUCGGAAGGAACGCCCGUGGCGAAAGCGAGGUCCUGGAUGCCUACUGACGCUGAGACGCGAAAGCCAGGGGAGCGAACGGGAUUAGAUACCCUAGUAGUCC